This 252-nucleotide ribosomal RNA is filed under the name uncultured microorganism. RNAcentral describes it as "partial 16S ribosomal RNA". It matches the Rfam family "Bacterial small subunit ribosomal RNA", at positions 524 to 776 of the family's 1533-position model. The record is from RNAcentral.
UACGUAGGUCCCGAGCGUUGUCCGGAUUUAUUGGGCGUAAAGCGAGCGCAGGUGGUUUAUUAAGUCUGGUGUAAAAGGCAGUGGCUCAACCAUUGUGUGCAUUGGAAACUGUUAGACUUGAGUGCAGUAGAGGAGAGUGGAAUUCCAUGUGUAGCGGUGAAAUGCGUAGAUAUAUGGAGGAACACCGGUGGCGAAAGCGGCUCUCUGGACUGUAACUGACACUGAGGCUCGAAAGCGUGGGUAGCAAACAGG